UGGGGAAUAUUGCACAAUGGAGGGAACUCUGAUGCAGCGACGCCGCGUGAACGAAGAAGGCUUUCGAGUCGUAAAGUUCUUUUAUAUGGGAAGAUAAUGACGGUACCAUAAGAAAAAGCCCCGGCUAACUACGUGCCAGCAGCCGCGGUAAUACGUAGGGGGCUAGAGUUGUCCGGAAUCACUGGGCGUAAAGGGUUCGCAGGCGGAAAUGCAAGUCAGGUGUAAAAGGCAGUAGCUUAACUACUGUAAGCAUUUGAAACUGCAGAUCUUGAAGAGAGUAGAGGUAAGUGGAAUUUUUAGUGUAGCAGUGAAGUGCGUAGAUAUUAAAAAGAAUACCGGUGGCGAAGGCGACUUACUGGGCUCAUUCUGACGCUGAGGAACGAAAGCGUGGGUAGCAAACAGG
Molecule: ribosomal RNA, 403 nt
Filed under: bacterium
Lineage: Bacteria
Description: partial 16S ribosomal RNA
Rfam family: Bacterial small subunit ribosomal RNA
Source: RNAcentral